Molecule: unclassified non-coding RNA, 390 nt
Filed under: soil metagenome
Description: partial contains 5.8S ribosomal RNA, internal transcribed spacer 2, and large subunit ribosomal RNA
Rfam family: 5.8S ribosomal RNA (bases 1-122)
Source: RNAcentral
GAUGAAGAACGCAGCGAAAUGCGAUACUUGGUGUGAAUUGCAGAAUCCCGUGAACCAUCGAGUCUUUGAACGCAAGUUGCGCCCGAAGCCACUAGGCCGAGGGCACGCCUGCCUGGGCGUCACACGUCGUUGCCCCCCCAUCUACUCCUUCGGGAUUGCGGGGGGGCGGAUGAUGGCCUCCCGUGCGCCUAGCCGCGCGGUUGGCAUAAAUACCAAGUCCUCGGCGACGCACGCCACGACAAUCGGUGGUUGCGAAACCUCGGUUGCCCGUCGUGUGCGUUCGUCGCGCAUCGAGGGCUCGAAAAAAUGCUCGGCUUCGGCUCGGCUUUCAACGCGACCCCAGGUCAGGCGGGGUUACCCGCUGAAUUUAAGCAUAUCAAUAGCGGAGGA